UUCCGGUUGAUCCUGCCGGAGGCUACUGCUCCGGGAGUCGGAUUACGCCAUGCUAGCGGAGGGCAGUUUGGCUGCUCCGUUAAUAGCUCAGUGACCCGUGGUCAAUCUACCCUUGGGACGGGGAUAACCCCGGGAAACUGGGGAUAAUCCUCAAUAUACGGGGGUUCUGGAAAUGCCCCUCGUCUCAAAGUCUUGGCGCCCAUCGAUGAGACUGCGGCCUAUUAGGGAGCUGGUGAGGUAAUGGCUCAUCAAGCCAAAAAUGGGUACUGNCCCUGAGAGGGGGAGCCCAGAGAUGGUGAGUGAGACAAGGCCCCAGUACAUACGGCGAGCAGCANGUGCGAAAAUUCCGCAAUGCUUGCAAUCGCGACGGAGUGACUCCCAGUGCCGGUGGUAUAACGAUCGCCGCCUUUUAUGAAGUGUAAAAAUCUUCCGGUAAUAAGCGCCGGCUAAUNCUGGUGCCAGUCGUCGCGUCAACAAAGCGGCCCAUGUGGUGACCGAUU
Molecule: ribosomal RNA, 500 nt
Filed under: uncultured candidate division MSBL1 archaeon
Lineage: Archaea; Methanobacteriati; Methanobacteriota
Description: bacterial SSU rRNA
Rfam family: Archaeal small subunit ribosomal RNA
Source: RNAcentral